Molecule: non-coding RNA, 85 nt
Organism: Acanthosepion pharaonis
Lineage: Eukaryota; Metazoa; Mollusca; Cephalopoda; Sepiida; Sepiidae
Source: the annotation of a GenBank genome assembly
CAAACACCGGUUCCCAUACCUAAGUUAAGCAACGCCGAGCCUAGUUAGUACCUAGAUGGGUAACUGCUUGGGAAUACCAGGUGCU